CUCGGAAUUGGAGCGUAAAGUGGGUGGUAAAUUUCAUCUAAAGCUAAAUAUAGGCUUGAGACCGAUAGCAAACAAGUACCAUGAGGGAAAGAUGAAAAGGACUUUGAAAAGAGAGUUAAAAGUGCUUGAAAUCGCUGAAAGGGAAGCGAAUGGAACCAGUCUUCUGGCUGAGAUUGUUGCGUGCUACUGUGAUGCCUGGCUGCUUCAACGCAAGUGUUGUAGUUAGAGUUGAUCAGCUGUGCGUGAUGUUUCUCAGCUUGUUAGUCAACCUUUGUUCGUGCUUGGGGAUAACUGCAGGUUCCAUGGUCUUCCCUGCGGGGUUGAUCUCGUGCCUGUUAGGACUCAGGUGUGUACACUUGGUGACAAAAUGGUUCUCUUCGACCCGUCUUGAAACACGGACCAAGGAGUCUAGCACAUGUGCAAGUUCACAGGUGGCAAGCCUGCUUGCGCAAUGAAGGUGACUGCUGGGAUAUUUGCACCAGCAACCGACCAAUCAAUUGAGAGAAGUUUGAGUAUGAGCAUAUGUGUU
RNAcentral lists this ribosomal RNA (529 nucleotides) under Pelagodinium bei. Its description in RNAcentral is "eukaryotic LSU rRNA". It matches the Rfam family "Eukaryotic large subunit ribosomal RNA", at positions 273 to 810 of the family's 3401-position model. Lineage: Eukaryota; Dinophyceae; Suessiales; Suessiaceae. The record is from RNAcentral.